Molecule: long non-coding RNA, 1974 nt
Organism: Anolis carolinensis (green anole)
Lineage: Eukaryota; Metazoa; Chordata; Lepidosauria; Squamata; Anolidae
Exons: 2
Source: RefSeq, a predicted model, not a curated record
GUGGGCCGCUCUAGGAAAGCGCUGGCUGCUGGAGCUUCCGCUUGAGGCCUUGGAAGGCCUCUCCAGUCAGAAAGCAAAUGUCAGGCUGGUAUAUUUAUAAAUUGUUUGUUAAUGUUUUUAUGUUUUUGUCCCUUUUGGGGGAAAUAAAGAGGGGUAUAAAUAAAUAACAGUAAUAAUAAUAAUAAUAAUAAAAAUAAUUUAUAAUAAUAUAUUAGUCAAUCGAAUAAUAAUAAUAAUAAGGCUGGUAUAUUUAUAAAUUGUUUGCUAAUGUUUUUAUGUUUUUGUCCCCUUUGGGGGAAAUAAAGAGGGGUAUAAAUGAAUAACAGUAAUAAUAAUAAUAAAAAAAAUAAUUUAUAAUAAUAUAUUAGUCAAUCGAAUAAUAAUAAUAAUAAUAAUAAUAAUAAUAAUAAUAAUAAUAAUAAUAAUAAUAAUCUGGGAUCACAAACCAGCAAAGAUCGUGGAAAAUGAGCACGCAAAGAUACUGUGGGACUUCCGAAUCCAGACUGACAAAGUUCUGGAACACAACACACCAGACAUCACAGUUAUGGAAAAGAAAAAGGUUUGGAUCAUUGAUGUCGCCAUCCCAGGUGAAAAACAACAGGAAAAACUCAGCCGCUCUCAGGACCUCAAGAUGGAACUGCAAAGACUCUGGCAGAAACCAGUGCAGGUGGUCCCAGUGGUGAUGGGCACACUGGGUGCCGUGCCAAAAGAUCUCAGCCGGCAUUUGGAAACAAUAGACAUUGACACAAUUACGAUCUGGCAACUGCAAAAGGCCACCCUGCUGGGAUCUGCACGCAUCAUCCGAAAAUACAUCACACAGUCCUAGACACUUGGGAAGUGUUCGACUUGUGGUUUCGUGAAACGAAAUCCAGCAUAUCUAUCUUGUUUGCUGUGUCAUACAACGUUGUUGUGUCAAUAAUAAUAAUAAUCUAAUAAUAAUAUUUUCGAUUGUGUGUUGAUGCUUUUAUGUCAAGCUGCUUUGAGUCUCCUUUGGGAGAGAUAAAGCAAGGUAUAAAUAAAUACUUUAUAUAUAUGUGUGUGUGUGUAUAUAAUAUUUAUUUAUACCUUGUUUUAUUCGAUUUACUAAAAUAUUAUAUUUAUUUAUACCUUGCUUUAUCUCUCCCAAAAGGGACUCAAAGCAGCUUGACAUAAAAGCAAGGUAUAAAUAAAUAUAUAAAUUUAUUUAUACCUUGCUUUGUUCAAUUUACUAAAAUAUUAUUAUACAGUAGAGUCUCACUUAUCCAACAUAAACGGGCCGGCAGAACGUUGGAUAAGCGAAUAUCUUGGAUAAUAAGGAGGGAUUAAGGGAAAGCCUAUUAAACAUCAAAUUAGGUUAAGAUUUUACAAAUUAAGCACCAAAACAUCAUAUUAUACACACAUUUGACAGAAAAAGCCGUUCAAUACGCAGUAAUGUUAUGUUGUAAUUACUGUAUUUAUGAAUUUAGCACCAAAAUAUCAUGAUAUAUUGAAAACAUUGACUACAAAAAUGGCUUGGAUAAUCCAGAAACUUGGAUAAGUGAGGCUUGGAUAAGUGAGACUCUACUGUAUAUAUAUGUGUGUGUGUGUGUGUGUGUGUGUGUGUGUAAUGUGCAUAUUUCCCAUGGAGUAAACUACAAAACCACUGGACCAAAUCACACCAAAUUUGGCCACAAAAUACAUAGUCAUCUGUUGGAGUAUGGUUGUAUUUGUAUGAAAUGUAAAUCAAGUGUUUACUGCUGAUGAGCAAGAGUGUGUAUUUUUCAGUAAUGAAAUAGUUGACAGCAGGCUAGUUUUGACUGACAGCCUGUUGUGAUUGCUAUGACCUAUCAGGCCUUUGGGAGUCGGAACUUCCUCUGGACAGAGGAUUGUGUUUCUUAUCUUAUCUGUGGAGUUCGGCUUGAGCAUUCGCUAACGAUGGACUAUGAAUGCUAUGCUCUGAAGCCGAGAAAUGCAAACUGUAAAUAGUUAUGUAAAUAAAGUUAAUCAACAGUUGGA